This 362-nucleotide ribosomal RNA is filed under the name Anaplasma platys. Its description in RNAcentral is "bacterial SSU rRNA". It matches the Rfam family "Bacterial small subunit ribosomal RNA", at positions 60 to 432 of the family's 1533-position model. The record is from RNAcentral. Lineage: Bacteria; Pseudomonadati; Pseudomonadota; Alphaproteobacteria; Rickettsiales; Anaplasmataceae.
AGUCGAACGGAUUUUUAUCAUAGCUUGCUAUGAUAAAAAUUAGUGGCAGACGGGUGAGUAAUGCAUAGGAAUCUACCUAGUAGUAUGGGAUAGCCACUAGAAAUGGUGGGUAAUACUGUAUAAUCCCUGCGGGGGAAAGAUUUAUCGCUAUUAGAUGAGCCUAUGUUAGAUUAGCUAGUUGGUAGGGUAAAGGCCUACCAAGGCAGUGAUCUAUAGCUGGUCUGAGAGGAUGAUCAGCCACACUGGAACUGAGAUACGGUCCAGACUCCUACGGGAGGCAGCAGUGGGGAAUGUUGGACAAUGGGCGCAAGCCUGAUCCAGCUAUGCCGCGUGAGUGAGGAAGGCCUUAGGGUUGUAAAACU